CCCUUAGAUGUUCUGGGCCGCACGCGCGCUACAAUGAUGAAUUCAACGAGUUUAUAACCUUGGUUGAAAAGCCUGGGUAAUCUUUUGAACUUUCGUCGUGAUGGGGCUAGACCCUUGCAAUUAUUGGUCUCCAACGAGGAAUUCCUAGUAAACGCAAGUCAUCAGCUUGCAUUGAUUACGUCCCUGCCCUCUGUACACACCGCCCGUCGCACCUACCGAUUGAAUGGUCCGGUGAAAUCUUCGGAUUGAGACUUUGAUUUGUUUACUCAAAACGCUGUUUCAAGAAGUUGAUUAAACCUUACCAUUUAGAGGAAGGUGAAGUCGUAACA
Molecule: ribosomal RNA, 329 nt
Filed under: uncultured eukaryote
Lineage: Eukaryota
Description: partial 18S ribosomal RNA
Rfam family: Eukaryotic small subunit ribosomal RNA
Source: RNAcentral